CGCGAUUUCGUACAUUUUGAUAAUUUGGGCUUAAUGGGCCAAAGAUCGGGUUCAUGGGCCAACGGGCCUAAUUUGGAAAUCCCCAACCAUAGUGGGCUUGGAGCUGUGAGGGAAUUCGGAGUGGCCACCCAUUCUGAAAGUUUGAUUUUCUUCUGGUGAACUGGAUAUCCUUUUAUUUACGUUUGAAGUUUUGGGUUUUUAAAUGUAAUAAGGCCACUUAAUUAUUUUUUAUGGUUUUAAUAUGUAUUACUAAGAUAGGUAAUACUUAUUUUAACUGUUGAAAUUGGAUAGCUUUAGGGCGCGUUUUCAAAAACAACAGUUGAUUUCAAAAUAACACGACAACAAGCAAAGCUUCCGCAAUGAAA
Long non-coding RNA from Gossypium arboreum, 365 nucleotides. RefSeq lists it as uncharacterized. NCBI's taxonomy places the organism in Eukaryota, Viridiplantae, Streptophyta, Magnoliopsida, Malvales, Malvaceae. The transcript has 2 exons. The record is from RefSeq and is a predicted model, not a curated record.